RNAcentral lists this ribosomal RNA (511 nucleotides) under Ischnocnema guentheri (Steindachner's robber frog). RNAcentral describes it as "partial 12S ribosomal RNA". It matches the Rfam family "Bacterial small subunit ribosomal RNA", at positions 8 to 887 of the family's 1533-position model. Lineage: Eukaryota; Metazoa; Chordata; Amphibia; Anura; Brachycephalidae. The record is from RNAcentral.
GAGCCUAAAAACUCCCCCAGGCGCAAAAGUUUGGUCCUAGCUUUAGAGUCAAUUUUUUCUUAACUUACACAUGCAAGUCUCCUCAACCCUGUGAGUAAGCCCUAACUUCCCCAUCGGAAUAAAAGGUUGAUAUAAGGCUCUACAACUUGCCCAAGACAUCUAGCAUAAGCCACACCCAUAAGGGACACAGCAGUGAUUAACAUUAUCUAUAAGUGUCAACUUGAUCUAGUUAAAGAAAUAUAAGGCCGGCAAAAUUAGUGCCAGCCGCCGCGGCUACACUAUAUGCCUAAACUGACUCUCGCCGGCGUAAAGCGUGGUUAAAGCCAUUAAUAGACUAGAGUUAAAUCUUGAUAGAGCGGUUAAAUGCCUAUCUGUAAAAAACCCACAAACGAAAGUUACUCUACCCUGUCACUUGAACCCACGAUAGCCAAGAUACAAACUAGGAUUAGACACCCUACUAUGCCUGGCCCUAAACCUUGAAUUACCCUCAAAUCGCCGGGGAACUACGAGC